CUAUGCGCCUUGCCAGCCGCUCAGGUGUGCCAGCCGCCGCGGUAAUACGUAGGGAGCGAGCGUUAUCCGGAAUUAUUGGGCGUAAAGGGUGCGUAGAUGGCAUAGUAAGUCUUUUGUAAAAAUGCUGGGCUCAACCCAGUAGGGCAAAAGAUACUGCAAAGCUAGAGUAUGACAGAGGCAAGUGGAACUACAUGUGUAGCGGUAAAAUGCGUAAAUAUAUGUAAGAACACCAGUGGCGAAGGCGGCUUGCUGGGUCGAUACUGACAUUGAGGCACGAAAGCGUGGGGAGCAAACAGG
Molecule: ribosomal RNA, 297 nt
Filed under: uncultured bacterium
Lineage: Bacteria
Description: partial 16S ribosomal RNA
Rfam family: Bacterial small subunit ribosomal RNA
Source: RNAcentral